CCUCAAUGUAACAUUUAGAAACUCUUCCUCUUUGAAGUUUUAGAGGCUUAGAACUCUGAUUUCAUCAUGAAAAAGUACUUAUUUGGGGUCAUUUCAUCCAACAAUGAACAUGCAGCGUUGGACACUGUGCUUGGUGACAUAAAGAGAACCAGAUGGUUGUCAUUGGCUGUACAGGCUUGGCCAGGACUGACCCGAACAGAGACUGAGGUCAAGAAAAGAGAGAACUGGUGACGGUGUUUGACUGUGUGAAGCCACAUCACAGUCCUGUCCGCAUGGACCAGUCUGAGUCUGCUGGCGUGGAUGGCAGGAUAUUCUCUCCAGUUACAGGGUUUAACUACAGAGCUACCCCACGCCUGAGGCCAGGGGCGGCGGCCGGGAGGAGCAACCCCACGUCCAAGGAGCGGUGGCUGUGCGGGCGCAGGAGGGCCGAGAAGAACUACUCCACGUCAAAGUCAGGAGGGGCGGUGGUGAGGAGAUACUCCUCGUCCAAGGUAAGGAGAAGCGGCUGGGCUUUGGU
Molecule: long non-coding RNA, 517 nt
Filed under: Bos mutus (wild yak)
Lineage: Eukaryota; Metazoa; Chordata; Mammalia; Artiodactyla; Bovidae
Description: lncRNA (ENSBMUG00000010072.1)
Source: RNAcentral